UCCAACAUACAAAAGGGAAACUGUUUUAAGAAGGUAGGCAUUUUCUACCUUAUUUUCAUGUAGAAUCUUUUUCUGACCUAAUACCUGCAGCCUACAAUUAUUUUGUCAGAGGCAUAUCCUUCCCUAUUUUGAUGGUAAAAUGUGUAACGUGUCCUUCCACAGUUCAUUAAUUUGUAUUUUGUGUGCAUCUUUCUAACUAUGCAACCCCUAGGCUUUCAGUUAUAUGUUACACUGUUUACUGUUACAGCAACUUACCCAUCAGCAAAAAUCCUAGAAAUGAGCCCAAGCCACUUCUGAAUAUCUGCAUGAGAUAUUUGAGUCUUGGACCAGCUUCAUAAAAGAUGUCUCAUCUCCAGUGAGCAUCAUGUUUGUGGUGUUCCUAACUGUAGACCCUCUCCUUUGGAAGAGAAGCUGAAUUCUCCAUUGAAGAGCUCAUCCUCACCUGCUGCUUUUUCCUGGCUUGUGGGAAAAUGUGGGAUUACUGGGGCCUCUUUACCAGGCUUGUCCCCAGCUCAGUGGGAGUGGUUUCCUGGGCUGUAUUUUCUCCCUAAAAGGUGGAGUUUAUUUCUUGUUUUACUCAGUGAAUGAGGAUGUGCUGGGGAUUUGGAAAGGGGCUGCUCUUUAGCUGGCAAUGCAAGGGAACUGGAUGUACCUGAGUUAAAAAUGUACUUAUUCUUUUUAAGUAAUAUCAACUUUUCUCUCUUUAAAAGAAAUUUAAAUAUGACUUUGUAUAAAUAGGUAUAAAAUAAGGGUGACUUUGGCUGUUUCUAUAGGAAAAAAAAAAGCCCUGGUAUUUACGUCAUUAUUUCUUGGAUUACUUUAAAAUAAAAUAGUUCUCCUUUAUGAUAUAUUGUCUUCA
RNAcentral lists this long non-coding RNA (859 nucleotides) under Struthio camelus australis. RNAcentral describes it as "lncRNA (ENSSCUG00000015841.1)". Lineage: Eukaryota; Metazoa; Chordata; Aves; Struthioniformes; Struthionidae. The record is from RNAcentral.